RNAcentral lists this ribosomal RNA (619 nucleotides) under uncultured bacterium. Its description in RNAcentral is "bacterial SSU rRNA". It matches the Rfam family "Bacterial small subunit ribosomal RNA", at positions 67 to 683 of the family's 1533-position model. The record is from RNAcentral.
CGGUAACAUUUCUAGCUUGCUAGAAGAUGACGAGUGGCGGACGGGUGAGUAAUACUUAGGAAUAUGCCUUUGUGUGGGGGAUAACUAUUGGAAACGAUAGCUAAUACCGCAUAACGUCUUCGGACCAAAGGGGGCUUCGGCUCCCGCGCAAAGAGUAGCCUAAGCGAGAUUAGCUUGUUGGUGAGGUAAAGGCUCACCAAGGCGACGAUCUCUAGCUGUUCUGAGAGGAAGAUCAGCCACACUGGAACUGAGACACGGCCCAGACUCCUACGGGAGGCAGCAGUGGGGAAUAUUGCACAAUGGGGGCAACCCUGAUGCAGCCAUGCCGCGUGUGUGAAGAAGGCCUUCGGGUUGUAAAGCACUUUCAGUUGUGAGGAAAGGUUGGUGGUUAAUACCCAUCAGCUGUGACGUUAGCAACAGAAGAAGCACCGGCUAACUCCGUGCCAGCAGCCGCGGUAAUACGGAGGGUCCGAGCGUUAAUCGGAAUUACUGGGCGUAAAGCGCACGCAGGCGGUUUGUUAAGCUAGAUGUGAAAGCCCCGGGCUCAACCUGGGAAUAGCAUUUAGAACUGGCAGACUAGAGUCUUGGAGAGGGGAGUGGAAUUUCUGGUGUAGCGGUG